Molecule: transfer-messenger RNA, 332 nt
Filed under: Labrenzia sp. EL_142
Lineage: Bacteria; Pseudomonadati; Pseudomonadota; Alphaproteobacteria; Hyphomicrobiales; Stappiaceae
Rfam family: Alphaproteobacteria transfer-messenger RNA
About the family: Bacterial tmRNA, also known as 10Sa RNA or SsrA, is named for its dual tRNA and mRNA-like properties. Its role is to liberate the mRNA from a stalled ribosome.
Source: RNAcentral
GCUUUUGACGCUCACGGAAGGAGCAGGUAGGGCUUGCUUCUUCCAUGAGCGUAAUUCGGCAAGGCUGAUUGCUGAUCUGGACCCGGGGGCGGUACCCGGCAGCUCCACCAAAGAUAUAUUUUAGGUAGUGUAUCUUUGAUGGGGCUGAAACAGGAUCGACAGGCAGACAAGACGCUAAGACGCGCUUCGGCAAGAUACCACCGUCAUCGGUUCAAUGUUUGUAAAUGCAAACGCAAAACGAGUCGUUUCUAACGACAAUGUACCGGUUGCUGCAGUAGCAGCAGUAGCCUAAACGGAGCCCGGCCGGGGCUUGGCAACAGAACCCGGCCACU